RNAcentral lists this ribosomal RNA (468 nucleotides) under uncultured bacterium. RNAcentral describes it as "partial 16S ribosomal RNA". It matches the Rfam family "Bacterial small subunit ribosomal RNA", at positions 28 to 507 of the family's 1533-position model. The record is from RNAcentral.
GACGAACGCUGGCGGCGUGCUUAACACAUGCAAGUCGAACGGAAAGGCCCUGCUUUUGUGGGGUGCUCGAGUGGCGAACGGGUGAGUAACACGUGAGUAACCUGCCCUUGACUUUGGGAUAACUUCAGGAAACUGGGGCUAAUACCGGAUAGGAUCUCCUGCUGCAUGGUGGUGGUUGGAAAGUGUCGGCUGUUGGGGAUGGACUCGCGGCUUAUCAGCUUGAUGGUGGGGUAGUGGCUUACCAAGGCUUUGACGGGUAGCCGGCCUGAGAGGGUUACCGGCCACAUUGGGCCUGAGAGACGGCCCAGUCUCCUACGGGAGGCAGCAGUGGGGAAUAUUGCACAAUGGGCGGAAGCCUGAUGCAGCAGCGCCGCGUGCGGGAUGACGGCCUUCGGGUUGUAAACCGCUUUGGCCUGUGACGAAGCGUGAGUGACGGUAAUGGGUAAAGAAGCACCGGCUAACUACGUG